Molecule: ribosomal RNA, 492 nt
Filed under: uncultured bacterium
Lineage: Bacteria
Description: partial 16S ribosomal RNA
Rfam family: Bacterial small subunit ribosomal RNA
Source: RNAcentral
AGUGAACGCUGGCGGUAGGCCUAACACAUGCCAGUCGAACGGCAGCACAGUAAGAGCUUGCUCUUACGGGUGGCGAGUGGCGGACGGGUGAGGAAUACAUCGGAAUCUACUUUUUCGUGGGGGAUAACGUAGGGAAACUUACGCUAAUACCGCAUACGACCUACGGGUGAAAGCAGGGGAUCUUCGGACCUUGCGCGAUUGAAUGAGCCGAUGUCGGAUUAGCUAGUUGGCGGGGUAAAGGCCCACCAAGGCGACGAUCCGUAGCUGGUCUGAGAGGAUGAUAAGCAACACUGGAAGUGAGACAGGGUCCAGACUCCGACGGGAGGCAGCAGUGGGGAAUAGUGGAAAAUGGGCGCAAGCUUGAACAAGCCAUAAGGCGUGAGAGAAGAAGGCCUUCGGGUUGUAAAGCCCUUUUGUUGGGAAAGAAAAGCAGAAGGUGGAUAACCCGCUGUUCUGACGGUACCCAAAGAAUAAGCACCGGCUAACUUCGUG